GAGGAAUAUUGGUCAAUGGGCGCGAGCCUGAACCAGCCAAGUAGCGUGCAGGAUGACGGCCCUAUGGGUUGUAAACUGCUUUUGUAUGGGGAUAAAGUCAAUCACGUGUGAUUGUUUGCAGGUACCAUACGAAUAAGGACCGGCUAAUUCCGUGCCAGCAGCCGCGGUAAUACGGAAGGUUCGGGCGUUAUCCGGAUUUAUUGGGUUUAAAGGGAGCGUAGGCUGGAGAUUAAGUGUGUUGUGAAAUGUAGACGCUCAACGUCUGACUUGCAGCGCAUACUGGUUUUCUUGAGUACGCACAACGUUGGCGGAAUUCGUCGUGUAGCGGUGAAAUGCUUAGAUAUGACGAAGAACUCCGAUUGCGAAGGCAGCUGACGGGAGCGCAACUGACGCUUAAGCUCGAAGGUGCGGGUAUCGAACAGGAUUAGAUACCCUGGUAGUCCGCACAGUAAACGAUGGAUGCCCGCUGUUGGUACCUGGUAUCAGCGGCUAAGCGAAAGCAUUAAGCAUCCCACCUGGGGAGUACGCCGGCAACGGUG
This 539-nucleotide ribosomal RNA is filed under the name uncultured bacterium. RNAcentral's name for it is "bacterial SSU rRNA". It matches the Rfam family "Bacterial small subunit ribosomal RNA", at positions 356 to 896 of the family's 1533-position model. The record is from RNAcentral.